GUGCUCGCGUUAGCAGCACAGGUACUAAAACUGGAAUGAUAGAGAUUAGCAUGGCCCCAGGCACAAGGAUGACACACAGACUCAUGAAGCAGUCUAUAUAUUU
Non-coding RNA from Myotis brandtii (Brandt's bat), 103 nucleotides. NCBI's taxonomy places the organism in Eukaryota, Metazoa, Chordata, Mammalia, Chiroptera, Vespertilionidae. The record is from Rfam.